AGCGGCGGAGCAUGUGGCUUAAUUCGACGCAACGCGAAGAACCUUACCAAGGCUUGACAUACACCGGAAACGUCCAGAGAUGGGCGCCCCCUUGUGGUCGGUGUACAGGUGGUGCAUGGCUGUCGUCAGCUCGUGUCGUGAGAUGUUGGGUUAAGUCCCGCAACGAGCGCAACCCUUGUCCCGUGUUGCCAGCAGGCCCUUGUGGUGCUGGGGACUCACGGGAGACCGCCGGGGUCAACUCGGAGGAAGGUGGGGACGACGUCAAGUCAUCAUGCCCCUUAUGUCUUGGGCUGCACACGUGCUACAAUGGCCGGUACAAUGAGCUGCGAUACCGCGAGGUGGAGCGAAUCUCAAAAAGCCGGUCUCAGUUCGGAUUGGGGUCUGCAACUCGACCCCAUGAAGUCGGAGUCGCUAGUAAUCGCAGAUCAGCAUUGCUGCGGUGAAUACGUUCCCGGGCCUUGUACACACCGCCCGUCACGUCACGAAAGUCGGUAACACCCGAAGCCGGUGGCCCAACCCCUU
RNAcentral lists this ribosomal RNA (522 nucleotides) under Streptomyces sp. Its description in RNAcentral is "bacterial SSU rRNA". It matches the Rfam family "Bacterial small subunit ribosomal RNA", at positions 928 to 1444 of the family's 1533-position model. Lineage: Bacteria; Bacillati; Actinomycetota; Actinomycetes; Kitasatosporales; Streptomycetaceae. The record is from RNAcentral.